CAGCAGCCACGGUAAUACAGAGGGUGCGAGCGUUAAUCGGAUUUACUGGGCGUAAAGCGUGCGUAGGCGGCUUUUUAAGUCGGAUGUGAAAUCCCUGAGCUUAACUUAGGAAUUGCAUUCGAUACUGGGAAGCUAGAGUAUGGGAGAGGAUGGUAGAAUUCCAGGUGUAGCGGUGAAAUGCGUAGAGAUCUGGAGGAAUACCGAUGGCGAAGGCAGCCAUCUGGCCUAAUACUGACGCUGAGGUACGAAAGCAUGGGGAGCAAACAGGAUUAGAUACCCCAGUAGUCCCUGUCUAUUAUAC
RNAcentral lists this ribosomal RNA (301 nucleotides) under uncultured bacterium. Its description in RNAcentral is "partial 16S ribosomal RNA". It matches the Rfam family "Bacterial small subunit ribosomal RNA", at positions 509 to 807 of the family's 1533-position model. The record is from RNAcentral.